RNAcentral lists this long non-coding RNA (1896 nucleotides) under Octopus vulgaris (common octopus). The record is from RNAcentral. Lineage: Eukaryota; Metazoa; Mollusca; Cephalopoda; Octopoda; Octopodidae.
UUCUAAUACAAGUAAGUUAUUAUCAAUUAUAUUUCCUUUUUUUUAUAUGUUGUGAUGUAUGAGUGUCGAGGAGAAAGUGAACACCUGGUAACUUGAGACCAUAAUGCAAUUUCAUUUCCCAUUUUAGGUUGCUUUCCUCUCUCUAAGUUAACAAAAAAACAAAGCAUCCAUUUUACAAUAAAAUUGCAAGGAUCAAAUAAAAUAAAUAUAUGAGAUUGAAACAGUUGAACACUGUCUACCAUUUCUUAGCAACUAUUAUAAUGUGUCCCUGGGCAUGGAGACAUUGAAAUUCCGAUGUCUGGCAGCUGAUUUGGCAGAUACCCAUAAAAUUAUUAACCAUCUUACAAACAAUAACUCUGAGCACCUUUUCAAACUCCACAUGUCUAACACCCGUGGACAUGUUUACAAAGUCAGAAAACAGCACAGCUCCCAUGACUUUCAGAAACAUUUUUUCAUGCUAAGAGUUGCUGAAGCAUGGAACAGACUGCCGGCAUCAGUUGUUAGUUGUCUGAGCACUGCAUCCUUCAAAAGUUCUAUGCUUCCAGAGAUUCGCCAACACUACACCUGAUUUUCUCUCCUCCAUACACACACAAGCAUGUAUCAGACUCAUACACUGUUCACUUUCCAGACAUUUGUACAUUACUGCAUAUACUAUAUGCGCACUUUUUGACAAGUUGUGGUGCACAUGAGCACUGUAUACAAUAAGUUCAUUAUUAUUAUUAUUAUUAUUAUUAUUAUUAUUAUUAUUUUUUUUUUUUUUUUUUUUAACUUAGUCAUCUGAGAUUAUGAAAUUUUAAUAACUUAUUGGAAUCAUUUCUGGAAAAUGAUUGGAAGUGAGAACUUGCAAUAAAACUAAGAAAAUGGAAAGUAAAUUGGUAGAAAAUACUGUGAUAAAUACAUUAGUCUUAAGUUUAAAAUUUACCAUGUUGUCUGAAUUACAUUCUUUAGAAGUUGAUAAAAUAGCAGUGCUGCACUGAGGAUUCAAAUCGGUUGACUCUACCAUCUGCUCUGCAUCAGGCCAGAUAAACCUGAUAUAUUUCUUCUUCACUAGUUCCUAGAUUUAUUUCCUCACUAACUACACUUACUGACCUGUUUAUUUAAUUCUUAUAGCCUAUUGCAACACUAUGUCAUCUGUUACCUAGCUCAAUAUCUAUCUUAACAUCAUGGUGAGAGAGCAUGUGAUGAUAUCUACAUAAAAAUUACAAUUGAUUGGUUGCCAGUCAUAUGAUCCAUUGUCAACAUCAAGUUCUAUAUGUUUAUAGAAUAUUUUAUUAUAACUCAAUUACAUAUUCGUUUUUUUCUUUACAUCUUCAAGCUUGUGAAGAAGGUGAGGUUAAAUGCCCUCCAGGUCGCAAUGAAACCAAUUCUGCAGAUGUAUGCAUUCGCCAAGAAAGUUUAUGUGAUGGGGAGAUUGAUUGCGAAGAUGGUACCGAUGAAGAGAUUUGUGGUAAGCAAAUAAAUAUCUUGUUUUAAUUAGAUAUCAGAUGAUUUUAUCAUAUUUAGCAAAUGUGUCAUUUAGACUACUUAUGGUAACUUUGCUUAUUAAACAAUAGAAGAUUUCAUUUAAUAAUAUAGUAUAAUUGACAAUAUAUUGCACAAAUUCAGUCAUGUAAUAGCUGAAAAACUUUUAAUCACAGGUUUGAGGGAUAGAGAUUGUCUGGGACUAAAUAUCAACAAUGAUGGCAACAGCAACAACAACAAAAUGGACAUCAUAUAUGAUUAUAAAAGUUUCAUUAGUGCAAUAAGGGUGAUGAAUUUUUUAUUUUAAUUUUCUACUGUCAGAUCAAUGUACAGAUGAACAGUGGCAAUGCAGAGAUAAGAAGUGUAUCAAGAAAGAUCUUCGUUGCAAUGGUAUUAAAGACUGUAAGGAUGGUUCAGAUGAAUUUCAUUGCUGUA